CCCACCUCUCAUCCGGUAGGUGCCCCGUGGGGAGAAUAGGGAAUCAGGUGCAAAUCCUGAGCGGACCCGCCACUGUAAGCGGUUAGUCUAACACCAUAUUUAUGCCACUGACCGUCACGGUUGGGAAGGCCGGUGUUGGGCCAUGACCCGUGAGCCAGGAGACCUGCCUGCCGGAUCAUAGAACU
RNAcentral lists this non-coding RNA (185 nucleotides) under Desulfotomaculum nigrificans. RNAcentral also lists the same sequence under 1 other name. The record is from RNAcentral. Lineage: Bacteria; Bacillati; Bacillota; Clostridia; Eubacteriales; Desulfotomaculaceae.